Molecule: ribosomal RNA, 445 nt
Filed under: uncultured bacterium
Lineage: Bacteria
Description: partial 16S ribosomal RNA
Rfam family: Bacterial small subunit ribosomal RNA
Source: RNAcentral
CCAGACUCCUACGGGAGGCAGCAGUGGGGGAUAUUGCACAAUGGGGGAAACCCUGAUGCAGCGACGCCGCGUGGGCGAAGAAGUAUUUCGGUAUGUAAAGCCCUAUCAGCAGGGAAGAAGAAAUGACGGUACCUGAGUAAGAAGCACCGGCUAAAUACGUGCCAGCAGCCGCGGUAAUACGUAGGUGGCGAGCGUUAUCCGGAAUUACUGGGUGUAAAGGGAGCGUAGGCGGGGGAACAAGUUGAAUGUUUAAGAUAUGGGCUCAACUCAUAUAAGCGUUCAAAACUGUUUUUCUUGAGUGAAGUAGAGGUAAGCGGAAUUCCUAGUGUAGCGGUGGAAUGCGUAAAUAUUAGGAGGAACACCAGUGGCGAAGGCGGCUUACUGGGCUUUAACUGACGCUGAGGCUCGAAAGCGUGGGUAGCAAACAGGAUUAGAUACCCCGGUA